Molecule: ribosomal RNA, 485 nt
Filed under: uncultured bacterium
Lineage: Bacteria
Description: partial 16S ribosomal RNA
Rfam family: Bacterial small subunit ribosomal RNA
Source: RNAcentral
AUGAACGCUGGCGGCGUGCCUAAUACAUGCAAGUCGAACGCUGGAGAUCUAGCUUGCUAGAUCGAAGGAGUGGCGAACGGGUGAGUAAUACAUAAGCAACCUACCCACGAAGACUGGGAUAAUCUCUGGAAACGGGGACUAAUACCGGAUAGGUAAUCGGAAGGCAUCUUCUGGUUAUUAAAGGUUAAAAACACUGGUGGAUGGGCUUAUGGCGCAUUAGUUAGUUGGUGAGGUAACGGCCCACCAAGACGAUGAUGCGUAGCCGGCCUGAGAGGGUGAACGGCCACAUUGGGACUGAGACACGGCCCAGACUCCUACGGGAGGCAGCAGUAGGGAAUUGUCGGAAAUGGGGGCAACCCUGACCGAGCAACGCCGCGUGAGUGAAGACGGCCUUCGGGUUGUAAAGCUCUGUUGUAAGGGAAGAACGGUAGAUAGAGAAUAUCUAAGUGACGGUACCUUACCAGAAAGCCACGGCUAACUACGUG